AGAGCGAACGCUGGCGGCAGGCCUAAUACAUGCAAGUCGAGCGCUCGUAGCAAUACGGGAGCGGCAGACGGGUGAGUAACACGUGGGAACGUACCCUUUGGUUCGGAACAACACAGGGAAACUUGUGCUAAUACCGGAUAAGCCCUUACGGGGAAAGAUUUAUCGCCGAAGGAUCGGCCCGCGUCUGAUUAGCUUGUUGGUGAGGUAAUGGCUCACCAAGGCUACGAUCAGUAGCUGGUCUGAGAGGAUGAUCAGCCACACUGGGACUGAGACACGGCCCAGACUCCUACGGGAGGCAGCAGUAGGGAAUAUUGGACAAUGGGCGCAAGCCUGAUCAGCCAUGCCGCGUGAGUGAUGAAGGCCUUAGGGUUGUAAAGCUCUUUCGUCGAGGAAGAUAAUGAACGGUACCUGAAGAAGAAGCCCGCUAACUUCGUGACCAGCAGCCGC
RNAcentral lists this ribosomal RNA (447 nucleotides) under uncultured soil bacterium. RNAcentral describes it as "bacterial SSU rRNA". It matches the Rfam family "Bacterial small subunit ribosomal RNA", at positions 26 to 518 of the family's 1533-position model. The record is from RNAcentral.